RNAcentral lists this ribosomal RNA (253 nucleotides) under uncultured bacterium. RNAcentral describes it as "partial 16S ribosomal RNA". It matches the Rfam family "Bacterial small subunit ribosomal RNA", at positions 524 to 776 of the family's 1533-position model. The record is from RNAcentral.
GACAGAGGGCUCAAACGUUGUUCGGAGUUACUGGGCAUAAAGCGCACGCAGGCGGCUUGCUAAGUCGGGUGUGAAAUCCCUUGGCUCAACCGAGGAACUGCAUUCGAUACUGGUAGGCUCGAGGACGGGAGGGGUAAGCGGAACUCCAGGUGGAACGGUGAAAUGUGUAGAUAUCUGGAGGAACACCGGUGGCGAAGGCGGCGAUCUGGGAAGAUACUGACGCUGAGGUGCGAAAGCGUGGGGAGCAAACAGG